This 536-nucleotide ribosomal RNA is filed under the name uncultured archaeon. Its description in RNAcentral is "bacterial SSU rRNA". It matches the Rfam family "Archaeal small subunit ribosomal RNA", at positions 461 to 997 of the family's 1478-position model. The record is from RNAcentral.
GCAGCCGCGGUAACACCGGCGGCCCGAGUGGUGAUCGUGAUUAUUGGGUCUAAAGGGUCCGUAGCCGGUUUGGUCAGUCCUCCGGGAAAUCUGAUAGCUCAACUAUUAGGCUUUCGGGGGAUACUGCCAGACUUGGAACCGGGAGAGGUAAGAGGUACUACAGGGGUAGGAGUGAAAUCUUGUAAUCCCUGUGGGACCACCUGUGGCGAAGGCGUCUUACCAGAACGGGUUCGACGGUGAGGGACGAAAGCUGGGGGCACGAACCGGAUUAGAUACCCGGGUAGUCCCAGCCGUAACGAUGCUCGCUAGGUGUCAGGCAUGGCGCGACCGUGUCUGGUGCCGCAGGGAAGCCGUGAAGCGAGCCACCUGGGAAGUACGGCCGCAAGGCUGAAACUUAAAGGAAUUGGCGGGGGAGCACAACAACGGGUGGAGCCUGCGGUUUAAUUGGACUCAACGCCGGACAACUCACCGGGGGCGACAGCAAUAUGUAGGCCAAGCUGAAGACUUUGCCUGAAUCGCUGAGAAGAGGUGCAUGG